AAUUAAGUACAUAUACUCUGUGGGCUUUCCCAGAACUAGAGGGGAAAUGGAAGCACCUGUAUAAAGCAUUGUGCUGACAGGCACUUUAAAAACUACUUCAACCACCUUUUAUUGGUAAAGCUGCUUUUGAUCCCCUGCUGGAGAGUUCCUUUAAGUCAACUGACAAAUGAAUCAAGCCUAACAAGAUUCUGUAAAGAAAUAAGCUAAGGGAAAAUUUCCUAUGGCCUGAGAAAAUUUCUUGAUAGCUCAGUUCACACAGGAAACGUGAACUCUUAGAAACUGACCAUAGUAAAUGCAGGAGAGAUGGGUACCUGAUAAUGACACAGAAAAAGUGACCUAUAUACACAUUACAACUCUGAAGUACAUACUA
RNAcentral lists this long non-coding RNA (370 nucleotides) under Bos taurus (domestic cattle). RNAcentral's name for it is "long non-coding RNA NONBTAT002946". The record is from RNAcentral. Lineage: Eukaryota; Metazoa; Chordata; Mammalia; Artiodactyla; Bovidae.